CCUACGGGUGGCAGCAGUGGGGAAUAUUGGGCAAUGGGCGCAAGCCUGACCCAGCAACGCCGCGUGAAGGAAGAAGGCUUUCGGGUUGUAAACUUCUUUUAAGGGGGACGAACAAAUGACGGUACCCCUUGAAUAAGCCACGGCUAACUACGUGCCAGCAGCCGGGGUAAUACGUAGGUGGCAAGCGUUAUCCGGAUUUAUUGGGUGUAAAGGGCGUGUAGGCGGGAGCGCAAGUCAGAUGUGAAAACUCAGGGCUCAACGCUGAGCCUGCCUUUGAAACUGUGUUUCUUGAGUGCUGGAGAGGCGAGCGGAAUUCCGUGUGUAGCGGUGAAAUGCGUAGAUAUACGGAGGAACACCAGUGGCGAAGGCGGAUUGCUGGACAGUAACUGACGCUGAGGCGCGAAAGCGUGGGGAGCAAACAGGAUUAGAUACCCGAGUAGUC
This 442-nucleotide ribosomal RNA is filed under the name uncultured bacterium. Its description in RNAcentral is "partial 16S ribosomal RNA". It matches the Rfam family "Bacterial small subunit ribosomal RNA", at positions 338 to 795 of the family's 1533-position model. The record is from RNAcentral.